AUUGGGGAAUUUUCCGCAAUGGGCGAAAGCCUGACGGAGCAACGCCGCGUGAGGGAUGAAGGCCUCUGGGCUGUAAACCUCUUUUAUCAAGGAAGAAGAUCUGACGGUACUUGAUGAAUAAGCCACGGCUAAUUCCGUGCCAGCAGCCGCGGUAAUACGGGAGUGGCAAGCGUUAUCCGGAAUUAUUGGGCGUAAAGCGUCCGCAGGCGGUCUUGUAAGUCUGUCGUUAAAGCGUGGAGCUUAACUCCAUUUGAGCGAUGGAAACUGCAAGACUAGAGUGUGGUAGGGGCAGAGGGAAUUCCCGGUGUAGCGGUGAAAUGCGUAGAUAUCGGGAAGAACACCAGUGGCGAAGGCGCUCUGCUGGGCCAUAACUGACGCUCAUGGACGAAAGCCAGGGGAGCGAAAGGGAUUAGAUACCCCUGUAGUCAAU
This 430-nucleotide ribosomal RNA is filed under the name uncultured bacterium. RNAcentral describes it as "bacterial SSU rRNA". It matches the Rfam family "Bacterial small subunit ribosomal RNA", at positions 353 to 798 of the family's 1533-position model. The record is from RNAcentral.